Molecule: ribosomal RNA, 358 nt
Filed under: uncultured bacterium
Lineage: Bacteria
Description: partial 16S ribosomal RNA
Rfam family: Bacterial small subunit ribosomal RNA
Source: RNAcentral
UGGGGAAUUUUGGGACAAUGGGCGAAAGCCUGAUCCAGCAAUGCCGCGUGUGUGAAGAAGGCCUUCGGGUUGUAAAGCACUUUUGUCCGGAAAGAAAUCCUUGGCUCUAAUACAGUCGGGGGAUGACGGUACCGGAAGAAUAAGCACCGGCUAACUACGUGCCAGCAGCCGCGGUAAUACGUAGGGUGCAAGCGUUAAUCGGAAUUACUGGGCGUAAAGCGUGCGCAGGCGGUUUGCUAAGACCGAUGUGAAAUCCCCGGGCUCAACCGUGGGAACUGCAUUGGUGACUGGCAGGCUAGAGUAUGGCAGAGGGGGGCUAGAAUUCCACGUGUAGCAGUGAAAUGCGUAGAGAUGUGGA